ACCCGCUGAACUUAAGCAUAUCAAUAAGCGGAGGAAAAGAAACCAACAGGGAUUGCCCUAGUAACGGCGAGUGAAGCGGCAACAGCUCAAAUUUGAAAUCUGGCGUCUUUGGCGUCCGAGUUGUAAUUUGCAGAGGGCGCUUUGGCAUUGGCAGCGGUCCAAGUUCCUUGGAACAGGACGUCACAGAGGGUGAGAAUCCCGUACGUGGUCGCUAGCCUUUACCGUGUAAAGCCCCUUCGACGAGUCGAGUUGUUUGGGAAUGCAGCUCUAAAUGGGAGGUAAAUUUCUUCUAAAGCUAAAUACUGGCCAGAGACCGAUAGCGCACAAGUAGAGUGAUCGAAAGAUGAAAAGCACUUUGGAAAGAGAGUUAAAAAGCACGUGAAAUUGUUGAAAGGGAAGCGCUUGCAGCCAGACUUGCCUGUAGUUGCUCAUCCGGGUUUUUACCCGGUGCACUCUUCUAUAGGCAGGCCAGCAUCAGUUUGGGCGGUUGGAUAAAGGUCUCUGUCAUGUACCUCUCUUUGGGGAGAACUUAUAGGGGAGACGACAUGCAACCAGCCCGGACUGAGGUCCGCGCAUCUGCUAGGAUGCUGGCGUAAUGGCUGU
Molecule: ribosomal RNA, 603 nt
Filed under: uncultured fungus
Lineage: Eukaryota; Fungi
Description: eukaryotic LSU rRNA
Rfam family: Eukaryotic large subunit ribosomal RNA
Source: RNAcentral